RNAcentral lists this ribosomal RNA (139 nucleotides) under uncultured eukaryote. RNAcentral describes it as "partial 18S ribosomal RNA". It matches the Rfam family "Eukaryotic small subunit ribosomal RNA", at positions 1299 to 1458 of the family's 1831-position model. The record is from RNAcentral.
UGGUGGAGUGAUUUGUCUGGUUAAUUCCGAUAACGAACGAGACCUUAACCUGCUAAAUAGUUACGCUAACCUUGUGUUGGUGGUUAACUUCUUAGAGGGACUAUCGGUGGUAAAUCGAUGGAAGUUUGAGGCAAUAACA